RNAcentral lists this long non-coding RNA (1464 nucleotides) under Aotus nancymaae (Ma's night monkey). Its description in RNAcentral is "lncRNA (ENSANAG00000038985.1)". Lineage: Eukaryota; Metazoa; Chordata; Mammalia; Primates; Aotidae. The record is from RNAcentral.
CCGCGGGAGUGGAUUGCAGGCGCGGCGUGGGGAUGCGUGCAGGUCCUCCACACGCGGUCUCUCCAAACAGCCUCGGGGAGUAAAGGUGUGGCCUAAGCGGGUUGCGUUUCUCCUCCUGGCAUUUCGGGUACUCCUCCCCGCCGCGACCUGAAGCACCCUCGAACUUUCUCCCGGAAAAAUCUCUACCCAUCCUGUCUUUUCAUAUUUUUUCAAGAGGUCUCAGUGGCCCAUCCCCGCCAGUUACCUCUUCUUCCCACCCACUCGGUGUCGAGGGCGGCCGCCGGGUGGCGGAACCCGCUGGGGACUGCCGGGCGAGUGGAUUCUAGGUUCGCUGCUCAUGGGCAGGUGGGACGACCUCUGAGGCCGAGCAGAAAGGCAGGGGGCAGGGUGACAGACACUGAGGAAGCCCCAGAACGUCUCCGUCCUCUCCGAGGCAGGAAGUCCGCUUUGGGGAUAUCAGGCCACCCCCGACCUCCCCCAGCGAUGGAAACCUGUCCAGGGGCCCCUAGGCUGGGUGCUGGGAACCCAAGUGGCCAGAAGUAAAGGCUGGCAGGGCUCGCUGAAGUUAGCAAGGCUUUGAGGGGAAUUUGCCGGGAGGGAGAUCAAAACACCCCCAAACUCAAGCAGCGAAGUCCUGGCGCGAAAAUGGCUUUUCACUUCUCCAAGCGCAAGUCUCGCUCGCUACGGUGAACAAACCUUGAGGUUCGAAACAGCUGCAAAUAAUCAAGUAGGCGCAAAUUUCGGGAGGGGAAAGGAGGGGCGAAAGGAUUUUUUCACUCGUCAUUACGUAAAUAAAGAAGAAGAUGAUGAUACUAAUAACAGCUAACAUUUACUGUAUACCAGAACUGUGGCUCCAUAAUGGAAUCAAGAAGUCAUGGAAUCCUAUGCUUGGAAGUUUGGAGGGCAUUGGUCCAACUUCCCACUGAACCCAGAGUUCUGAAGAUGGGCAGAUGAUCAGAUGCAGAUGGAACAAUUUUCAGGACUUGCAGAUUCAAGAAAGGUCCCCAGUUCCUCUGGGAAUCAUCCUGUACACAACAUCUUCACAAGGGUGGCAGGCAGUUGGAUCUCUGGCCUUCGUGGGACCACUGGACAUCUGGCAGAGAACCAGAAAACCACUCUUCCCUUCUGCUCCCAAUGCAGCUGCUGUCUGCAGACCCCCUAGACUGCCCAGGGAAGUGAGUCGGAACUCCUGCAACAGAGGGGUGGAACAGCUACAAGAAGAUCUGAAGGUGGCCAAAAAUAACAGCACUUUCCAGAUGAGGGAGCCAGUUUUCCAGCACAGUGUCAUGGGACAGUGGGCCCUGGUGUCACAUGUCCGGCAUCUCCACCAGAUACAGCUUUGAGAUCUUCAUGAUGAAGCUUGCUCCAAUCCAAAGGCUUUCAGGCAGGGUUUGCUGUUCAGCUGCUAACCUUUCUUUGGUAAGCAUUUACUAUAUUCCAUCAUUACUGAAAUUACUUUUUUCU